Non-coding RNA from Caenorhabditis elegans, 21 nucleotides. The record is from Ensembl. Lineage: Eukaryota; Metazoa; Nematoda; Chromadorea; Rhabditida; Rhabditidae.
UUGCAUCGUUGAAAUACCCAA